GGAAAAUUUAACAAUUUAUUUCUUGAUUUGUUUUAUUAAAAAUUUUAACAUUCAUGAUGGUUGAUGAGAAUACAAGAUAAUACAAAAUGUGAUGGCCAUUUCAUGGAUUGUAUCCGAACAGUCCAUUAGCUUUGGAACAGGGCAAAGAUUUCAUCAGUAAGAGAAACUCUAAUCUUGCUCAAAAGGACAAUGCACUGAAGUUUUUUCAAGUGAAAGGAUAAAAAUUUGAAAAUAGUAGACCGCCGAGAAGGAUGUAAGGUGUAGAAUAUGCCCAUGUCAUGUACCCCCAUCUCUUACUAGUACCAUGGGACAUCAUGGCUAUAUAUGAUGCAAACUAAUAUAGGGGAGGACUUGCAGACAAUCGUGUAGUGACCUGCAAAUUAUCAAAGCACCAAACACAAUAAGAUGACAAAAGAAAACUUUAUCCAUCUUUUCGUGGUGAAAAUUAAGCAAAGAGUAUCUAGUUGUUGGAAAUUCCAGAUAAAUCAAACUACAACCAGAUAAAUGUGUUACUUGAUCUGUCAUCCAAACCAAUGUAGACCUAGUAUAUAUAUUAAUUUACAAAUUCAAACAAUGUUGAAAGCAAAAUCAGCUGCUCUAGUGGACCAUACAUAUUGGUUUUUAAAUCUCAACGAACUUUUAAAUUGUCAAACUUUAUUUUGAUUCUCCAAAUUGGAAAAUUAUAUUUCUGUUAUCUAAACUCAUGAAAUUUGAAUCAAAAGGCAUAAUUUUAAGUUAUGUAGUUCAUUCUUAAAAAGUGACAUAUAGCGAGGAAAUCACAAAUUCAUUUUCUCAUCACUCAUGGAAGGUUAUAAAAGUGAUGCAUGAGCAUCCCAAGUCCUAUUCAGUUUAGGAUUUUAUUUUCUUUUCCUUCUUUAUUAAAGAUUUUUGUCCAUUAAGGCUUUUAUUAAUUAGGAUUAGUUUUCA
This 927-nucleotide unclassified non-coding RNA is filed under the name Hevea brasiliensis (rubber tree). Lineage: Eukaryota; Viridiplantae; Streptophyta; Magnoliopsida; Malpighiales; Euphorbiaceae. The record is from RNAcentral.